GUGAACAACCUAGAAGAUCAUGUAGUUUUUUAUAUGGAGAAUAUUAAAGAAACCUUCUUAGCAGACCAGAAGAACAGGUUUUGCCUGCUGCAUGUCUUGGAAGAGAACAAGUCUUCUGUACUAAACUGAUCAUGGAGAACUUCUAUUGUGCACCUUUCUUAGAGAAGCCUGCUUCACUGUUAUGAUAAUAGAUGUCUGCAGGUGCACUGGUGACUUCUCUGACCAGUAGAAUAUGACAGAAGUGAUGCUGUGUGACUUCUGAAGCUGGCUGGUAUGAAAGACACAGCUUCUGCCUGACUCUUUUUUGCAGGCACAAUAUUGUGAAGAAGCCCAGGUCAUGUGAAGAGACCAUGUAUAUGUGUUCCAGUCAAUAGCUCCUAUUAAGUUCCCAGGGACAGCUACCAUUAAUUGUGAGCAAAUAAUCUUCAAAUGAUUAUAGCCUCCAGCCUUUAAGCCUUUUAGCGUCAGCCACCUAGGAACAGA
Molecule: long non-coding RNA, 483 nt
Organism: Balaenoptera musculus (blue whale)
Lineage: Eukaryota; Metazoa; Chordata; Mammalia; Artiodactyla; Balaenopteridae
Exons: 3
Source: RefSeq, a predicted model, not a curated record